RNAcentral lists this ribosomal RNA (477 nucleotides) under Terminalia bellirica (bibhitaki). RNAcentral describes it as "eukaryotic LSU rRNA". The stretch from base 5 to 158 matches the Rfam family "5.8S ribosomal RNA". The record is from RNAcentral. Lineage: Eukaryota; Viridiplantae; Streptophyta; Magnoliopsida; Myrtales; Combretaceae.
AAACGACUCUCGGCAACGGAUAUCUCGGCUCUCGCAUCGAUGAAGAACGUAGCGAAAUGCGAUACUUGGUGUGAAUUGCAGAAUCCCGUGAACCAUCGAGUCUUUGAACGCAAGUUGCGCCCGAAGCCUCGGCUGAGGGCACGUCUGCCUGGGUGUCACACAUCGCGUUGCCUCCAGAUCCUUCACCCCUCGACCGUUGCGGUGAUGAUCCGGAUGCGGAAGCUGGCCUCCCGUGACCGCGCGUCGCGGAUGGCCAAAACACGUGCUGGGGGAAGCGAAGCGCCACGGCAUUCGGUGGUCGAUCUAAGCCCCAGAAGCAGUGCCGGCGGUGGCCGCAUAUGUCCCCAGCCCACGACCCUAAACGUUAACCGACGCGACCUCAGGUCAGGCGGGGCUACCCGCUGAGUUUAAGCAUAUCAAUAAGCGGAGGAAAAGAAACUAACAAGGAUUCCCCUAGUAACGGCGAGCGAACCGGGA